Molecule: ribosomal RNA, 101 nt
Filed under: Amycolatopsis sp. WAC 01375
Lineage: Bacteria; Bacillati; Actinomycetota; Actinomycetes; Pseudonocardiales; Pseudonocardiaceae
Description: partial 16S ribosomal RNA
Rfam family: Bacterial small subunit ribosomal RNA
Source: RNAcentral
UUGUUGGAGAGUUUGAUCCUGGCUCAGGACGAACGCUGGCGGCGUGCUUAACACAUGCAAGUCGAACGAUGAAGCCUUCGGGUGGAUUAGUGGCGAACGGG